This 538-nucleotide RNase P RNA is filed under the name Rhodocyclaceae bacterium. RNAcentral's name for it is "Bacterial RNase P class A". It matches the Rfam family "Bacterial RNase P class A". From Rfam's summary of the family: Ribonuclease P (RNase P) is a ubiquitous endoribonuclease, found in archaea, bacteria and eukarya as well as chloroplasts and mitochondria. Its best characterised activity is the generation of mature 5'-ends of tRNAs by cleaving the 5'-leader elements of precursor-tRNAs. The record is from Rfam by way of RNAcentral. Lineage: Bacteria; Pseudomonadati; Pseudomonadota; Betaproteobacteria; Rhodocyclales; Rhodocyclaceae.
GAAGUUCGCCAGGCAAUCGCUGCACCCAUCGAGGAGCAGAGGAAAGUCCGGGCCCCGCAGAGCAGGAUGCCGGCUAACGGCCGGGCGCCGUGAGGCGACGGAAAGUGCCACAGAGAAUAGACCGCCGAUGGCCGUCCGGGCUUGGCCGCCGCUAGGUGGCAAAGUCCCCUCCUGAAGAGGAGGCUUCGCGUUUCGGCGCGGAGGGAGGCUGCCGCGGAAGCGGCAGCGGCUGGUGCAGCGAAAGCCGCGCCAGCCGGAUCAGGUAAGGGUGAAACGGUGCGAAGCCGCGCGUCGGCGUGGUUUCGGAGCGCGCGCAAGCGCGAUCGGGUAAGAGCCCACCGCGGGACUGGUAACAGGACCGGCACGGCAAACCCCAUCCGGGGCAAGGCCAAAUAGGGGAGCCAUGGCGUGGCUCGCGCCGCUCCCGGGUAGGCUGCUGGAGCGUCGUGGUAACACGGCGCCAAGAGGAAUGAUUGCCCAGCGGCACGGUACAACCGCUGCUGUUCGACAGAACCCGGCUUAUCGGCGAACUUCCCUU